UUUUAACUUAAUUUGUUGUUCAUGAAGGUUCGUGAAGUUACUAAGGUCAGAUUGUAAGACCUAAGUUGUUGUCUUUUCUAGAUUUUGAAGCGGUGAGAUCAUUAACAGAGAUAGAACUAGUAAAAAAGGCUACCUGCCCCUCUGUGGACAUCCAGAAUAAUAAGCAGUACCUGCUGAUGGGAUCCCGCGGGUCACAGUACACGGUUGGCCAAAGCUACAGGUAUCGUUUCCCCAUCGACUCCGAGGCUUUAGUGGAGCUCUGGCCAACAAGAUGUGAGCCCGCUUGUCCGGAAUAUCUCAAACAGCUGGGGCUUUAUACAGUGGACCUGCAAAUAUUAGGCUGUCCUUAAUAAUAACGACAAUUCACUGCUGCUUUUGAGCCACCAUCACAAAGAAGAACCAGAUCUCUGUUAGACUGAAGGAGUGAGGAGAAGGGGCAACUCCCCUGAAAUGAAAUCAGAAAGAUGUCUUUAAAAAUCGAACCAAAACAACGUUUACAUCCUAUCAAAAAAAAAAAAAAGUAAGACGAGAAAAGCAAGGCAUUUCCACCGGCAUUGUCAUUAACGUGUAAUCAUGUAGUGUCACUAGAGUGAAGUCAUUAUUUGACUUAACAUCCUUGUUAUGAACUUUCCUGUUAUUAAAACGUUCUUGUCCAAAAAA
Long non-coding RNA from Cynoglossus semilaevis (tongue sole), 660 nucleotides. RefSeq lists it as uncharacterized. The record is from RefSeq and is a predicted model, not a curated record. NCBI's taxonomy places the organism in Eukaryota, Metazoa, Chordata, Actinopteri, Pleuronectiformes, Cynoglossidae. The transcript is spliced from 2 exons.